This 253-nucleotide ribosomal RNA is filed under the name uncultured bacterium. RNAcentral's name for it is "partial 16S ribosomal RNA". It matches the Rfam family "Bacterial small subunit ribosomal RNA", at positions 524 to 776 of the family's 1533-position model. The record is from RNAcentral.
UACGUAGGUGGCAAGCGUUGUCCGGAAUUACUGGGUGUAAAGGGCGUGUAGGCGGGGCUGCAAGUCAGAGGUGAAAUUCCCAGGCCCAACCUGGGGGCUGCAUCUGAAACUGUGGAUCUUGAGUGCUGGAGAGGAAAGCGGAAUUCCUAGUGUAGCGGUGAAAUGCGUAGAUAUUAGGAGGAACACCAGUGGCGAAGGCGGCUUACUGGACAGUUACUGACGCUGAGGCGCGAAAGCGUGGGGAGCAAACAGG